This 114-nucleotide ribosomal RNA is filed under the name uncultured bacterium. RNAcentral describes it as "partial 16S ribosomal RNA". It matches the Rfam family "Bacterial small subunit ribosomal RNA", at positions 1369 to 1482 of the family's 1533-position model. The record is from RNAcentral.
CGUUCCCGGGCCUUGUACACACCGCCCGUCACACCAUGGGAGUCGGUAAGACCCGAAGAGCUUUCGCCAACCGCAAGGGGGUAGAGUUCUAAGGUAGGCCCGAUGACUGGGGUG